RNAcentral lists this long non-coding RNA (684 nucleotides) under Rattus norvegicus (Norway rat). RNAcentral's name for it is "long non-coding RNA NONRATT033988". Lineage: Eukaryota; Metazoa; Chordata; Mammalia; Rodentia; Muridae. The record is from RNAcentral.
GAGAACAGUGGUCCAGGAGAAUCAGGCAGUCUGUGGCUUCCUGGAGCACCGCACUCUUAGCAGCCUCAGUUGUGGGGAUCGUGUCCCUGGCUAUAUCACAUAUCAGUUUCAGGAGAGCCUUCAGUAAGACCACAACUCUGCAGGGAAUUCUGGAAUUGGGAAGAAAAAAUUCAUAUUCCAAACUGAACGAUAGAUAAACUUGGACAAAACUUGGUUCAGGCAUGGGCAAGCUGAAGUCAAAUGAUAUUUGUAUCACCUUGCUGAAAACAAGACCUUCCUGUUAAUUCUACCCCACUCUUCCUGCAUACACACACUGGGAUGUUGAAGAAUACUGGAACGAUCUGGAAGCAGGAACAGGUCGACCUCUGGCCAGAUUUAGAGCAGCCAGGGCUACAGUAAGGCCCUACCAAUAACCAACAAAACCAGAAAACCUGUUUUCUGCCGAGGCUUCAUUCCCAGCAUGAGCUGAGGGUGGGGGAGGGCAAAUCUGCUUACCAUACCCCCUUGUUUUUAAUCAGAGAUGAGGAGAUACCCUGCAGUCACGGGACUUUAGGCCUGGGCUUAAAGUGAUUUGCCUGCAGGUAGUGAGUGGCAUGUGCUUAUAAUCCCAGCAGUUAGGACAUGGAAGCAGGAGAUCUACAACUUGAGCUUUACUACAGAGCAAAACUUAAGUGUCAAUAUUAA